Molecule: long non-coding RNA, 279 nt
Organism: Hibiscus syriacus
Lineage: Eukaryota; Viridiplantae; Streptophyta; Magnoliopsida; Malvales; Malvaceae
Exons: 3
Source: RefSeq, a predicted model, not a curated record
AAGUAUAUUAUCAUAGUGUUUGAAGUAUUUUAGAUAUCUGACAAAUAUCAGCUGUUAUUAUGAACUAGUAGAGUUCCUAGAUCAUGGAGCAGAUAUCAGGAACUCAUGAAUAUUUUUCUUUAUUUCUGGAAUUGAGGUUCACUUCAAGUUUAACUUUUUAAUAUUUAUUCAUUGAUUAUCAUAAACUUCAAACUCUGAAGCUUUUCCACUGUAGCAGUCCAUAAAUGAUAAUAAUCAAAGGGCAACCAUCUCCAUGCUUAUAUAUAAGAACUUCUACCA